Molecule: non-coding RNA, 805 nt
Filed under: Alligator mississippiensis (American alligator)
Lineage: Eukaryota; Metazoa; Chordata; Crocodylia; Alligatoridae
Description: Eukaryotic large subunit ribosomal RNA
Rfam family: Eukaryotic large subunit ribosomal RNA
Source: Rfam by way of RNAcentral
AUUCCCAGCUGAAACGCAGUCUGCAGCCUGGUCACAGAUCGUUUUUUCACUUACCUGAUGAGGCAGGGGGGCAUGCCCUGAAGGGCUCUCACUUCUGGCUCCAAGCUCCCAGCGCAUGCUGGGUGUAACCUGCUCCACGGCCAGUGUCAGGUGGGGAGUUUGGCUGGGGUGGUACACCUAACAAACCAUAAUGCAGGUGUCCUAAAUUGAGCUCAGGAAGGACAGAAACCUCCCAGGGGGCAAAAGCUUGCUUGAUCUUGAUUUUCAGUAUGAAGACAGACUGUGAAAGCAUGAUCCUUCUGACUUUUUGGGUUUUAAGCAGGUGUCAGAAAAGUUACCACAGAGAUAACUGGCUUGUGGCGGCCAAGCAUUCAUAGCGAUGUCACUUUUUGAUCCUUCAGUGUCAGCUCUUCCUAUCAUUGUGAAGCAGGCUUCACCACGCAUUGGAUUAUUCACCCAUUGACAGGGAACAUGAGCUAGGGUUAGACCAUUGUGAGACAAGUUAGCUUUACCCUACUGAUGAUGUGUAGUUGCAAUAGCAAUCCUGUUCAUUCGAGAGGAACCGCAGGUUGAGUUAUUUGGUGUAUGUGCUUGGCUGAGGAGCCAGUGGGCGAAGCUACCAUCCGUUGGGGUUACAAUCUGGCAUGCCAGCAGAACUGGGGAAGUGGGGGUCAAAAAUCAAAAUCAAUACACAAUGAUUAGUCCUCACAGUCAUGCUCUGGCUUGCAAAAGAGAAGCCUUGCAAGUGAGCAGGCAGUCAGGUAGCUAAAUCCACUCCCUAAGGGAAAAAAUGGGGAAUCUUCCC